RNAcentral lists this transfer RNA (66 nucleotides) under Orohermes crepusculus. RNAcentral's name for it is "tRNA-Asp". The record is from RNAcentral. Lineage: Eukaryota; Metazoa; Arthropoda; Insecta; Megaloptera; Corydalidae.
AAAGAAUUAGUUAAAUUAACAUUAGUAUGUCAAGCUAAAAUUAUUAGAUUAAUCUAAUAUUCUUUA